Long non-coding RNA from Cyanistes caeruleus (blue tit), 1842 nucleotides. The record is from Ensembl. Lineage: Eukaryota; Metazoa; Chordata; Aves; Passeriformes; Paridae.
GGAGAAUGAUCUGUUUCAAGCAGCACUACCAUGCAAGGGGUGCUCACAGCCUGUUUGCUCCAAGUAUGCUUUUUGAAAUACUUAUUCCAGAUCAGUCCCUGCUUUGAUCAUUUUUACAGAAACACCCUUUUGCUUUAUAUCAACAUUGGAAAUUGACAGCCUUGGCCUUCAUUUCCUGGUAUGAGUCUCCCAACACCAGACAUCAUCAUGGCAACACCCCUUAAUCUUAAUGCUCCUGGGACUGUGACUAAUGAAACAGAGAAGAGUAAUAGAUUUUUAGGCCAAAUAAAUUACUAAGGUUGCCUACCCUGACCUCCUCUGCAUGCCACAGAAGCAAGCAGAGAGUGAGUCCAGCACAAGAAGGUCUCUUUAGAAAGGAAACGUGAGCAGUGAGCCUCCCGAGGGAGCUGCUCCAGUGGCGGGCCAUGGAAGAAGCACUGGCAGCGCUCCCUGCCCUCCAGCAGAGCUUGGUGGGCAGGAGGAGGGAGUGGCUGCAAUGAGCAACAGCAAAGCAGGAGCAUAGCUGGAUGACACACACACUCUGGUGAAGAUCAGGUCGGUUUGGAUGCUGUUGUUUUCAGAGGCUGAGGCUCCAGGGGACAGACGUCUUUCAAAUGGAACAUCCAUGUCAGAAGUCCACCGCAGGAUCUGUGAGAAAACAAAGAACGAACUUUCUCAUUGACAACAGAAACAAAUCUGGAGGAGUCAAAUUCCCCAUGAAAAGAAAUUCUGUUCUCCAACCAGAUCUCCUCAGCUAAGAGAUCAGAACAAAGAUAAUGACCCUGAAGCCUUUGUUCCCUCAUGUUUACAUAAACUAGGAGAAGUGGACAGAGGAGCCUUUGCACCAUCUUUCAACUUCCCACCUACCUGUGAGUUUGGUUUAGCAAAAGUUUGCACCUGCAGGUUUUUCUAAUUCUUGCAUGUUGGUAAAAGAGAAGAAAGCAAACUGUUUUUGAAUGAAGCUCUUAUAUGGGAGAACUUUGGAAGAGUAGAACAUAAUCAUCGUAAUUAUGAGUCAAUCAAGAAGCUGAAAAAAGCAAUCCAUCUCCUGAGAGAAGUCCAGCAGUGAAAAUUUUCUCUAGCAUUGUAAGAGGCCUCCAGUUCCAGGCUAACCCAGGAAGACAAGAGUCAAGAUGUGAAUAUAUGACACUGUUUCCUACCACACAUGGUUUUUGAGAUUUUCAAUACCUGUACUGAGCAGGCACAAGACUGCCUAUACAACAGAAAGAAAAAGCUGAGUGACUUGGCGGCAGACAAAUCUAACAAGUCUCAAGAUUCUGGACAGCUUCAGAAACCAUAAUCAAAGAACACAAAUCACUGAGACAAAAAGUGCAAAGUAUUUACUCUGAUGCAGUGAUAAGAACACUCAGAUUCUGCAGCAAGUCGCCUUCUACAAUAUCCAUUAAAAUGAACAGCACUGAAGUAUUUAUUUUAGAAAUUAAAAAGCACCCUGGUGAAUUAUUCAUCUCUUUCUCUGACUUUAGAGGAGACAGCAUGGUACAGCACAGCUUGUUGUAAUACACAACAGCAUUUUGAUCUGCAGAUUUAAAGAAUUUCAGAUUGCUUAGAGAUACAUGAGGCUCCGUGGUGGUAUGUAACAUAAUUUCUCACACAGUCUAACCACUGGAACAACUCUUGCCUUAGAGGAGGUAAGUGGUAAUGUGAAACAUGUUGUUUCCUAUUGUGAAGUUUUAAAGAAAUACAUUAUAUGCAAGUAAUUAGACUUUUUCCUUCAUUAAUAUUCUAGUUAAAUAUAUGCUACUAACAGGCAGCUCUGGGACAGUUUAGUCAGCCUGGCUGAUACAUAAUAAAAAACAAGGGCCUUUGCUAAAUCGUGUAUUG